This 662-nucleotide unclassified non-coding RNA is filed under the name Hevea brasiliensis (rubber tree). Lineage: Eukaryota; Viridiplantae; Streptophyta; Magnoliopsida; Malpighiales; Euphorbiaceae. The record is from RNAcentral.
AGUGUCUCCCAUAUUGCCUCAUCGCUCAUGCUUUCAUCGUCACCAGGCAUCAGUGACCUACACAUUCUGAAAUUAUCAAUUAAAACAAUGAUUUCAAAUGCCAGCAACGGUAGAAAGACAAUCUUCAAGUUCACAGCAGCAAAACCAUAAACAGAUAGGCUUUCGAGGUAUAUACAAAGAAGUAAUUCAAAUGCUAUAAGCAAAGGUGUGGCAACAACAGCAUGACACGGUGCCCAAUGACGAUUAUGCGGAAGAGAUGGGGCAGGUAAUGAGAACCUUCCUCGAGCAACAACCACAUGAAACACCCAAAGGGGAAAAAAUAUAACCCACCAACUGUGGGAGACGAAAUGAUCGAGCUUGAGAACGAGCAAGAGCGUGAAACAGAAGAGUGAACCGUGGGCCAAAAGUGCCUGCACGGACUUCAACACUCUUCUCCAAGUCAUUCCUCCUCCACGCACAACUUCCUUCACCUCAAAAAGCCCUCCACCCCUCUUCAACACACACGCCCUCCUUCAAAACCCAAAAACCCAAAAACCCAUCAUGCAAACCAUCGAAAAGAACAGACCCAGAAUGGAAAAAAAAGAAGAAGAAAAAUCAGAAACUGGGUAUGUAAUAGGAAAGCAUGAACAGGAUACAACGACCAAAAAAGCUCUGAAUCCCGG